This 900-nucleotide ribosomal RNA is filed under the name uncultured bacterium. RNAcentral's name for it is "bacterial SSU rRNA". It matches the Rfam family "Bacterial small subunit ribosomal RNA", at positions 87 to 984 of the family's 1533-position model. The record is from RNAcentral.
GGUGGCGAGUGGCGAACGGGUGAGUAAUACAUCGGAACGUGCCCUGUAGUGGGGGAUAACUAGUCGAAAGACUAGCUAAUACCGCAUACGACCUGAGGGUGAAAGUGGGGGACCGCAAGGCCUCAUGCUAUAGGAGCGGCCGAUGUCUGAUUAGCUAGUUGGUGGGGUAAAGGCCUACCAAGGCGACGAUCAGUAGCUGGUCUGAGAGGACGAUCAGCCACACUGGGACUGAGACACGGCCCAGACUCCUACGGGAGGCAGCAGUGGGGAAUUUUGGACAAUGGGGGCAACCCUGAUCCAGCAAUGCCGCGUGUGUGAAGAAGGCCUUCGGGUUGUAAAGCACUUUUGUCCGGGAAGAAAUCGCACCUGAUAAUACCGGGUGUGGAUGACGGUACCGGAAGAAUAAGGACCGGCUAACUACGUGCCAGCAGCCGCGGUAAUACGUAGGGUCCAAGCGUUAAUCGGAAUUACUGGGCGUAAAGCGUGCGCAGGCGGUUGUGCAAGACCGAUGUGAAAUCCCCGGGCUUAACCUGGGAAUUGCAUUGGUGACUGCACGGCUAGAGUGUGUCAGAGGGGGGUAGAAUUCCACGUGUAGCAGUGAAAUGCGUAGAGAUGUGGAGGAAUACCGAUGGCGAAGGCAGCCCCCUGGGAUAACACUGACGCUCAUGCACGAAAGCGUGGGGAGCAAACAGGAUUAGAUACCCUGGUAGUCCACGCCCUAAACGAUGUCAACUAGUUGUUGGGGAUUCAUUUCCUUAGUAACGUAGCUAACGCGUGAAGUUGACCGCCUGGGGAGUACGGUCGCAAGAUUAAAACUCAAAGGAAUUGACGGGGACCCGCACAAGCGGUGGAUGAUGUGGAUUAAUUCGAUGCAACGCGAAAAACCUUACCUACCCUUGA